This 253-nucleotide ribosomal RNA is filed under the name uncultured bacterium. RNAcentral's name for it is "partial 16S ribosomal RNA". It matches the Rfam family "Bacterial small subunit ribosomal RNA", at positions 524 to 776 of the family's 1533-position model. The record is from RNAcentral.
UACGAAGGGGGCUAGCGUUGCUCGGAAUCACUGGGCGUAAAGCGCACGUAGGCGGACUCUUAAGUCGGUGGUGAAAUCCUGGAGCUCAACUCCAGAACUGCCUUCGAUACUGAGAGUCUCGAGUCCGAGAGAGGUGAGUGGAACUGCGAGUGUAGAGGUGAAAUUCGUAGAUAUUCGCAAGAACACCAGUGGCGAAGGCGGCUUCCUGGACCGAUACUGACGCUGAGGCGCGAAAGCUAGGGGAGCAAACGGG